Molecule: ribosomal RNA, 119 nt
Filed under: Beta vulgaris subsp. vulgaris (sugar beet)
Lineage: Eukaryota; Viridiplantae; Streptophyta; Magnoliopsida; Caryophyllales; Amaranthaceae
Source: RNAcentral
UGGUGUGAUUAUACCUGCACUAAUGCACCAAAUCCCAUCAGAACAUCGUAGUGAAGCGUGCUUAGGCAAGAGUAGUACUAGGAUGGAUGACCUCAUUGGAACUCCUCGUGUUGCACCCC